GAGGACACCAUGUUCAGGGAGUCUGGCCCGUCGUGAAACCCCAUGUGAUCUCACUCACAAGAGAUCUCUAAAGGUGUCCCAUGCAGAGACAGGAGGUGCAAACAAGAGAACAGAACCAAGUGACCCCAGGGAGCCGAGAAGAGAGCAGACAUUCUCGGUUCAGGAGACCCUGUCAGCCACCAGGUUCCAGAUGAUGCCAAUUGGACUUCCCUGGGCAGAUGACCCCACCAAUAUGUCCUGGAGCCCCGCUUCCCCAGAACCCUGCCCCACUAGGGAAAGCGAGAGGGAGGUUGGGAGUAUGGAUUGACCUGUCAAGGCCCAUGUUCAGCAAGGAAGCAGUUACAGAAGCCAGACCUCCAGCCUCCCAGAGGGAUAAAGAAUAAGGAAGCUAUCAGGAGAAGGGAUGGGAUACAGAGAUCUGGUGGUGGGA
Long non-coding RNA from Erinaceus europaeus (western European hedgehog), 430 nucleotides. RefSeq lists it as uncharacterized. The record is from RefSeq and is a predicted model, not a curated record. The transcript has 3 exons. Lineage: Eukaryota; Metazoa; Chordata; Mammalia; Eulipotyphla; Erinaceidae.